Molecule: long non-coding RNA, 280 nt
Organism: Cotesia glomerata
Lineage: Eukaryota; Metazoa; Arthropoda; Insecta; Hymenoptera; Braconidae
Exons: 3
Source: RefSeq, a predicted model, not a curated record
AACAUAAAUAAUUUAGUCACAAGCUUGAGCGACCGUAUUUUAAUAGCUAUAAAAUAUUCUGUGUUUUGAGUUAAAAAAUUACUGCAAACUAAUUUUAAAAAAAUGAUCCGAUCUGUGACAAUGUUGAUAGUUGCAAUUGUAGCAAUAAUUGCUGUCUUGUUACUAGAAAGUUCAGAAGCGAAACAUAUAACACUUUGUUUACUGAAAUUGUGUUCAUGGGCUCAGAACUACACAAUAACUGAGUGACUCUCGUUAGAAAUCAUGUGCCAAAAAUAUUUUA